GGAGAGGCCUAUAUAAAUCAGCCAACAAGGCUAAGCUAUAAGCCUUUCUUCCAGUGUCUAGAACAAUUAAUUUCAAGCAAAUAUAUUAUGAUUAGGGGCAUGGUUCCUCAGGUUUCCAUUAGGGAAGAGGUUAAGUUUAAGGAGGCUCAUGUUCCAUGGCGCAGGGAGAUGGUGGUGGAAGUGUUCAAAAGUUUUGCCAAGGACGGGCAGCUUUCCAAGCAUGAGUUGAAGGCAGCCUUCGAUAAACUUGGGUCGCGUUGGAGCACUUUCAGAGCUUGGAGAGCUUUAAGCUAUGCAGAUGCCAAUCAGGACGGCCUCAUUUCUAAUGAUCACGAGUUCAAAGCCCUUGUCAACUAUGCCUUAGAAUGUGGCUAUGAACUCUAAAUUAUUUUCUACAGUCUGUCGGCCUUGGUUUACUUCUUCUACUCAUGUUAGGAAAGAAAAAAAAAUGUUUGUGUAGUAGAGUAGUGAAGGAAUGAGGCGACCGUAUCCUUUUUUGUCGAUAAAUUAUUAUAUGGUACUGAAAUAAUUUCAUUAUAAAUGAAUAUUGUGAUGAUCUAUAUAAUGUUUAUCUAAUUUUUCAAUAACUAAGACCAUAUAUACCAUUUGUGGUGUCCAAUAACCUUUCCUCAAAACCCUUGCUCUUAAUAUGGCAAUUAAGCGUGUAUACUCUCAUACAUUUGUAAAGAAAGGUUUUGUUCUUAUUUCUUCAACUAUUAAAAUGAAUAAUCUGCUAAAUUAGGACACGUAAGUCUAACUUAAAAUUGAUUAUUAGUGAGCGCCAAUCGGGUCUACUAUAAUGAAAAAGAGUAUUGGUUUGCAGAUUAAAAAUCUUAGGUUCGAACUCAUAUGGCAUCUUAGUUAUGUACGUGUGUUUGAGAAACCUCUCCUCUAUAAUUUAGAUUGUACUUUUAAAAAAAUCCAAUUACUGAGCAAGUUCACAGGUAAAGUCAUAAUUAUGGAAACUGGCGCAUAUCCUCCAAACCAUACUAGCUUAAGUCCAAUCUUCAACUCAGAAGUCAGUACCCAAUUAGCCAGCAUAAUCCAGAAUUUUUUUUCACUUGGGCUAAAUAAAUUUCUACUUUCAAAUGUAAUUAGUGGUCCACUCCACCAUCAAUCCAUACAGUUCAUGAGUAGCCCAGUUAGAAAGAUUAGUUAUUGUUAUUUCCAAAUUUAUAUUUGAACUUUUGUAAGGUUUAAUUUCCUCAUAUAGUACUUUUUUUUUACUAGUUUAUCAUUAUCUAAUAUUCGGUCACAAUAUAUUUACUUACUUUAUGGAUUGUAUUGAAUAAAUUAAAGAUGAUAGAGGACCCCCCCCAACCUGUUUGGGUGAUGGGAGUGGAUUGUGAGUACUUUUUGGUUUCACAUCCACACUCUUAUCCAUUUGGCAUCUAAUUUCUGAAGUGGUGAUGCUUGUCCCUAUCCAUUCGGCUAAAAAUAUCACAUUUGAAUCUUGAUUCUUGAUUAUCAAUGGAAUUAAGAAAAGAAAUCGAAAGAAAUCAAACUAACUUGUAACUUGUACGUCAAGGAUAACCAAAAGCUCAUACGUACAUAUGAUAUGAUAUGAUAUAUACAUCCUUCACUUUUAUUCGAUGUGAGAUCUUUUGAGGCAUUACCAAACCAAACUUGGCUUUAUUCUUACAAGGACGACAACAACAACAACAAUAUGUUCCAUAUUCUAGUUCUUGUUUCUAUGUUUUUAGCAUUUCAAAUCUAAAGAUUUUAUUUUCAAUAUGAAUUUAGUUGGUAUUCAAAUACAUUAAGAUCCAAAAUGUAUUAACGUACAAAGAAUAUCAAUAUGAUUGAAUUAAUCAUGAAUGCUAGCAUUUAUUGACAGACUAUCGACUGUAUUUAAAUAAAUAAAUAAAUAUAUAUAUAUAUAUAUAUACAGAGAGCUUUCAUUGAAAGAUUCUUCAAAUAAGCUUAUUUAAGGGACAUCCCUUAUAAGCCCCACUCCGGAUUGUAUUUCACUAAUUCAAACCGUUUAUUUUGUAGAUACUCAUUCAAAGAUCAUCUCUAUAAAAAAAAUCACUUGAAUCCGAUAUCAUUUGACCACUCAAUUGAGUUAUUAAAAUUUUAGUACUUUCUUGAAGCACCAUUUUGUAAGACACAAUUGAAUGUCGAAACGAUUUCUAAUUUGUCUAAUUUUUUAUAAAAAUAAUCUAUGAAUGAAAACCUAAUAUAUAUAUAUAUAUAUAUAUAUAUAUCCAUUGACAGAAUAUAUGAGUGUGACUUGUCACAUGCAAAUUGUUGAUCACCGAUGGAGUUGGUGCGACGGGCGGUUUGAAAAAUUGGAAUCUUGUCAAAGAUCAAAAGAAGGAAAAACUUUGGUUAGAUAGUAAUAGGGACCAGAAUAUUCCAUAUAAAUGCCAUGCAUAUUUGGAGAUAUAGAAACAUAAAACCAGCUUCAUAUUUAUCAACCUUAUGCCUUCCGCACUUCCAAGAUCAUAUAGGGCCUUACCAAACUAUUAUUCUACAAGAUUUUUCAUGAGAUAUACAUUGUUGUAAAAGCUUUCAUGCCAAUGAAUGAUCGUAAAAAUAUCUUGGGUUUGUAUCUUUAUAAUGCAAUUGCUCGAUCAUUAUCCUAAUUAUAUUAUUCAAAGAAGGUCGAUCAUGAAUUGUUCCAUUGCUUCUCCCCACUCUUCUUUUUCCUUUUUCUAAGAAAGAUUGUUUUAAGCCUUUCGAUUCUGAUUCGCAUCAAUCCCAAUUAUUAGUUUGGCAGAUUACUAAAGAUAGAAACACACAUGUACGAGAUGUAUCACGUAAUUUUACCCGCUAUCGUAGUAUAUUAUAAUUUUUUUUUCAAAAUUAAGAUGCCCUAGGCCUACAAGACUAAGCUUACUUAAUUUACUUCAUCUGCAUAUUGUGAGUGAACCUUUUAAAGAGGCUUCACGAACCCAAAAGUUGAAUUGUUCCCUUCAAAUCGUUGCGGAAAAACAAGUUGGCAGAUGAAGCAUUUUACUGUUACAAACUUUUGGCACUUGUGGUAAUCAAUAAAUAUAAACCUUUUUGACUAACAAGCAUCUCUGGGCACUCUCUCUUUGAAAAGUUCCAUGCUUCAUGUUCACGCAGAAAAUUAAGAUAUGUAUAGAAAGCCUCUAUAUUUUUGGGAUUUGAUUAUUUAUUGAUAUAAUUGGGGGCAUCCAUUUCAUUCAUCUACGAGAUUCAAUUGUUCAAUUAGAAUGGAUGCCCCGAUUUUCUAUUGUAAUUUAGAUAUAUUUCCUACUUUAUUUAGAGUUAACACAUUUUUGUACUUGUAUAAAUACCUACAUAUUGGAGAAGAAUAAUAAUAUGAUAAAAUAUGAGCAUAAGUGAGCAUAUCUGAAUAUUUACCCUACUUUGUUUGACAUUUACAAAGUCGGGCGAGUUGUGCAUAUUACACAGGGCCAGAGAGGAGAGCCCUAUAUAAAUCAACUUUGAGCCCCAUUAAGUAUAAUUAACCAUCUAAAUCACAUAGUUCAAGUCCCUCGGCAAAGCGAAGCCUUUCUUAUUAACUAUAUCAUGGUUAGAUACGUCCCUGCUUCUCCUCCUCCGGAGAUGAUGGUGAAGGAGGCCUAUGUCGUAUGGAGUAGGAAGCAGGUAGAGGAUUUGUUGAAAAGUUUUGACAUGGACAAAGACGGCAAGCUUUCCAAGCAGGAGUUGCAGGCAGCUCUCAAUAAACUUGGGUCGCGUUGUGUCUUCUUAAGAGUUUUGAGAGCUCUACGCCAUGCAGAUUCCAACAAGGACGGGUUGAUUUCUAUAGACGAUCACCUUGUUAACUAUCUCUUUGAGUGCCGUUAUAAGCUAUAAGUUAUUGAUUGCUAAGUACAAGAUUAAUUAGUCCUUGUACUAAUUAAUCAGCCUUAUAUGUAGCUCUUUUUAUAUAUACGAUUAUGUGUAUACGUAGUAGCGAAGGAAGGAGGUGACCUGUGUUGCCCCUCUUUGCCAGUGUACAUGUAUUAGAACCCUGGUUAUAUAUAUGUGAUGUUUAUCUAAUUGAAGUGAUCAUGACAUGAAAAUCCAUAAUAUAAAAGUAAAAGAAAACCAUAUUGAUAUACGAGUGAAGCAAUUCCUUUGCUAUAAUGACUAUCAAUGGAGAUGAAAGCCUUUCAUAAUGAGUUUAAAAAACUAGGAUCUCUCCACUUAUUGUCAAUAAACUGGAAUCCACCAGAAAAUUGAGUAAAACUCAAAGGUAUUUGAUUGAUAAUAAGAUAGAUAAUUCAGGAUGCUCCACAUUCCUUUUAUACAAGGGAAACCUUAGAAUUGCAUGGAAAGCUAAUGAGAAACCCUAGACUUGCUAGGAAAGCUAAUUAGAAAACAAAAAUGAAAAUAAUAAAAGUUUCCCAAAAUAUUCUAGAAAUUUUAAACGCUGUAAAGUCAAAGUAAAUGAUAAAAUUUGACUAAAAUAGUCCAUACGUCACAGCAAAGCAGUGAGUUACAUUUGUCACGUCGUUCUAUUCUAAAUGAUAGGUCAUGAGCCCGAUUAUGAACUCGGAGUUCAUACUUGCACAUAUUGGACUUUGUUGUCGCGACGAUGUGCGCGCCAGUCCAACUGUUUCUCGAUCAACUCGGUCAUGUGUUCUACAUCAAGCAGGAUAUGAGAAACAGAAAAAAAAAAAAAAAAGAAACGAUAACACGUGACUAUAAUAAGCUUUGUUUUCAAAUCAUUUAUCAAAAUUAUUUUUAAGGUACGUAUAGUAGGGGAGCCAGCCGAUAUACUCGACAACUUUCCAUAUAUCCAGCAUCUGACAAAAAGCCUACUAUAAUAGAGUGGUAACGAUGUGGCGGGUUAGGACUGAAGUUUGGUAUCUCUAAGAUUCUUGAUAUCUAUAUUUUACCAAACUAUUUUGGUAUAAAAUUGUGGAUUCUAUGGGUGAGGACCAGAAGAAGAGGCCGGCGAAAAGAAUCCCAUUGAUCAGAUCGAUGCCUAUCUUUUUUCUCAGGCCCCCCGUGGUCACAUUGCUUAGAUUCUAAUUCUCACCAAUCCAAGAUAUACAUGUACAUAUGUAACGACUAGCUAUGGUAAAUCAGCACUUUCAAAACAACCCAUUUGACCAAGUCAAACAAGAAUCUAUCAAGAGUAAUGCUACUCACCCAACAUUAUACAUCUACAAAUAUAUGCUAUAUAUGAUUAUUUAUUGAGUGAACCAUCUAUAGAAAUUAUUAUUUCUUCAUUCUCAUGGGAUGGGAAUAAUUAAAUAUUAUUUAAUUCAAUAACAUAAUUAAAUAUUACUUCAAUUAUACUUAAGUGGUAUAUAAUAAGCCUCUAACCCCUUUUGUAAACAAGCAUCUUGCUACAUCUUUCUUUCUUGUAGUGCGUUGCUUUGGAAUUAAGAUCAAUAUGGUAAGAGAUCUCCUUGUUCCGGGGUUUAUUAAUAUCACAGAGCAGAAGGGCAGGGUCCAAAUUUUCUGGUCUGAGGAGCAAUUAUUGGUUUUCUUCAAAGGUUAUGACAAGGAUGGAGAUGGCAGACUUACCAAAGAUGAGGCCAAGGCAGCCUUCGAUAAACUUGGGUCGCGUUUCAGCACUUUCAGAACUUGGAGAGCACGAUGCCAUGCAGAUACCAACAGCAAAGACAGGUCCAUCCUCAACGUCAACGACCUUGUCAAAUAUGCCCUAAAACGUGGCUAUAAACUCUGAUUAACUCAGAAGCACAUGAAGGGUUUUAGUCAACUAAUUAAUAUAAUAUAUAUGUGUGUAUGUGUGUAUGUAUAAGAGUUUUUAAUUACUUAUCUACUAGUUCCAGCCAUAUAUACAUAUAUGUGUGUAUGCUAGCGAAGGAAGGAGGUGAGCUUUUGCUUCCCCCUCUUUGGCAAAGGUUUGAUGAAUGAGAUAUCUGAUUAUGUGGAAACUUUUUUAGUUGUUUUCGUUUUUCGGCUCAUUUCGCAAUGUGAUUUAACAAUUAAAAUUGCUUAUAUUUUAGAUAUCCCCUAUUAAGUAUUACCGAUUUAAUAUAAUUUUAUAAUCCGCACCAAUUAGCCUUUAAUCUAGUGAUAAUUAUCUUUUUGCAAUGCAAGUGAAGGAUAAACGGCAAAUUGUGUGAAUGUUUUUACUGUGAUCAGUAUGGUUGUAGAAACCAAAGCGAAGACCUAGCUAGUUGACCCGAGUCAAGCAAAAGAAUCUAUUAUCUCUUUAAUAAAGUUCCAUGCUUUCCGUGCACGCACAAAAUUAAUGGAUAUAUCAUAUAUGCUAUUGGUUUUUUGAAUGAACCGUAAUCUUCCAAUUUCAUGGACGGAUGGGAAUUGUCAACUUUUAUUUCAUUCAAAACAGAUAGCUAAGGGGGCCCUAGCCGGCACAAUAUUGCUAUAUAACUGCCACUCUCUAACCUAUCUUACACUGCAAGUCCAAACAUUCUCUCUUGCAUUGUUUAAGGCACCCUUUUCUUGUAGUGUUUUUUUUUCAAGGAAACCCUUUUCUUGUGGUGUUUCUUUUACGGGUCUUUCGAUCCAAGCCUGAAAAUUUUGGUUUUUAUUAGGUUUAAGUAACCCAAGUUUUUCACAGAAGCUAAGCUAGAAUUUGAAGAUAAAUAUGGUUAGGGAGACCCUUGUUCAGUUGUGGAACAACAUGGAGGACGCGGUUGUUUAUAGGAAGGUCCAAAUUCCAUGGACAAAGGAGCAGGUAAUGGCUGAGUUCAAAAGAUUGGACAAAGAUGGAGAUGACAGGAUUUCCAAGGAAGAGCUGAAGGCAGCCUUCGACAAGUUCGGGUCGCGUUGGGGUUCUUUCAGAGCUUGGAGAGCCCUCUGCCACGCCGAUGCCAACAAGGACGGGUUCAUUUCUAUGGAGGAGUUCACCGAUCUCCUCAACUAUGCUUUGAAAUGUGGGUAUAAACUAUGAAGAAUUAGAAUUCUUCACGUAGGACCUACGGCAGGCUUAGUUUUUGUGCUUGCUGUACUGAGUAGUCUGUGAUCAUGUAAUAUAAUGUCUCUGUGUAUGUACAUAUAUGCGUUGCUAAAAUAUGAAAAUUAUGAGAGAAUAUUUGUUUGUGGGAAUUUUCUGUGUGUUCUUCUCCUUGUAGGAGGUCAUAUUUAUAAUACAACGAAAUCUGAAUGGGCAAGUAAAUAAUAAAUUCCUAAAUCUAUUUACAGUAGGAAAUCAGGAAUUAAAGUAAAUCAAUUACAAUUAUAAUAGGAAUUCUUGAUGUGUAAGGAAAGUAAGUCAAUAUCCACAAGUCACGCCAACACUCCCCCUCACGUUGGUGCAUAGAUGUCGCCAAUGCCCAACUGAUCCAGUGAAUUGUGGAAUGCUUUACUGGAAAUCGCCUUUGUCAAAAUAUCCGCCAAUUGAUCCUCGGAUUUCACAAAAGGAAACUGAAACACUUUAGCCUCAAGCUUCUGUUUGAUGAAGUGUCGAUCCACCUCAACAUGUUUAGUACGAUCAUGCUGAACCGGAUUCUGUGCAAUGGCUAUAGCAGCCUUGUUGUCACAAAAGAGAUUCAUUGUGGACGUAGGUUUAUACCCGAGUUCAAUAAGCAACUUUCUUAACCAAAGAAGUUCACAAAUCCCUUUAGUCAUGCCUCUGAACUCGGCUUCUGCACUGGAUAAAGCUACUACAUUCUGUUUCUUGCUCCUCCAUGUCACCAAAUUACCUCCCACGAAUGUGAAGUAACCCGAUGUGGAUUUUCUAUCUGUUACAUUACCUACCCAAUCUGCAUCUGAAUAACCAUCAAUAUUUAGAUGACUAUGCUUUGAGAACGUAAGUCCUUUUCCAGGUGCAGACUUCAAAUAUCUAAGUAUCCGAAGAAUUGCAUUCAUGUGGUCUUCACUUGGAGAGUGCAUAAAUUGACUGACAACGCUCACCGCAUAAGCAAUGUCUGGUCGAGUAUGUGACAAAUAGAUCAAUCUUCCCACUAACCUUUGGUAUCUUUCUUUGUUAGUUGGAACUCGAUCCGGAUAUUCUCCAAGAUGAUGAUUCUGAACAAUAGGAGUGUCCGCACGUUUACAAUCUAGCAUUCCUGUGUCUGUCAACAAGUCUAAGACAUAUUUCCUUUGAGAGAGAAAUAUGCCUUGCUGCGAUCGAGCCACCUCAAUUCCCAAGAAAUACUUGAGUCCACCUAGAUCUUUCAUCUCAAACUCCGUAGCCAGAUAGUCUUGUAACUGUGAUAUUUCCUGUUUAUCAUUCCCAAUAAUAAUCAUAUCAUCAACAUAGAUUAUUAAUGCUGUUACCUUCCCUUUUUGAUGUUUCAAGAAUAGAGUAUGAUCUGAGUUGCACUGUUUGAAACCAUUGUUCUUCAUUGCCAUGGUGAACCGUCCAAACCAUGCACGUGGUGACUGUUUCAAUCCAUACAAUGCUUUUCGUAACCUGCAAACUGUUCCAGUCUGAGUAGUAUUAUAUCCAGGAGGAAUGUCCAUGUACACCUCCUCCGUGAGUUCGCCAUGUAGAAAAGCAUUCUUUACAUCAAACUGGUGUAGUGGCCAAUCCAAAUUAGCUGCAAGGGACAAUAAGACUCUGACGGUGUUUAACUUUGCAAUUGGUGCAAAAGUUUCUUCAUAGUCUAUACCAUAGGUCUGUGUGUACCCUUUUGCCACAAGUCUUGCCUUGUAUCGCUCGAUAGAUCCAUCUGCAUUGUGUUUUAUAGUAAACACCCAUCUACAUCCGAUAGUCUUUUUUUCUCGUGGUAUAGUUUCCAAUGUCCAAGUCUGAUUUUUCUCAAGAGCUUUCAUCUCCUCUUUUAUAGCUUGGACCCACUUAGGAUCUUUCAAUGCUUCAGAGAUCUUGGUUGGAAUAUGGAUAGCAGACAACUGAUGCACAAAAGCCUUGAGUGGUUCAGACAGCUUCUCAGUGGAUACAUGAUUUGCAAUUGGAUACUUGGAUGUCUUGCCAAUAUUCGGUGAAUAACGGUUUGGUGGCUUCCCACGAUUUUGCCUGAAAGGUAAUUGAUAUCCAAUAGUUUUAUCAUCUAAAUGCACAAGUCUAGUAGGAGUAGUUACCUCAAGGAUAUUCUCAGGAGAUUGGUCUGUUGGUACUGUUGAGUUAGAAGGGGGGUCUUCAUCUUGUUGUUCUGUAUUGUCUGUAGGUGUAGGACUCGGAUCAGAAAUAUCUUCGCAUGGAUCAGGUGGGUCAGGCAAUUGAUCGCUAUGAAUGGGCGAUUGGUCACUUUUCAACAGAGAGUACUCUCGUGCUCCAGACUCGGGAUGAUCAAUCAUUUCUGUACAUAGGAGAAUGUCUUUGUUUUCCAAGUUGCUCCAAUUCUGUUCUUCACUUCGUAUCUCCCCCUGAAGCGCAGAAUUGGAUGAUGGUCAUGGAAGAACAGCUCAGAUUCCAGAAAAGUCACAUCCAAAGUGACAUAGGUUCGUUGGGUAGUAGGGUGAUAACAGCGGUAACCUUUCUGAUGAGUGACAUAACCCACAAAAACACAACGAAGCGCACAGGGAUCAAGUUUGCUACGUUGAUUUUUGUGGAGAUGAACGAAAGCCACACAUCCAAAGAUUCGGGGUGUGAGUACCAAAACAGAGGGCAGAGGUCUGUGUUGCGCAAGCACCUGUAAAGGAGUUUUAAAGGUCAAUACACCAGAAGGCAUGCGGUUGAUCAGGUGAACUGCAGUGACAAUAGCAUCAUCCCAGUGAUGGCGAGGAACAUGAGCGCCAAUCAGAAGUGCUCGGGCGGUUUCAAGAAGAUGUCGAUUCUUUCGUUCAGCAACACCAUUUUGUUGCGGUGUCUGAAGACAAGUCGUCUCAUGGAUAAUUUCAUGUUGUUGGAAGUAAGUCUGAAAGUCAUGAUUGACAAAUUCUCCACCAUUGUCUGAGCGAAGAAUCUGGAUUUGAGCAUUAAAUUGAGUUUUCAUCUGUUUGUGGAAGGACUGAAAACUGAAAAAUACUUCGUUUUUAUUCUUCAGCAAAUAAAGCCAUGUCAUCCGUGUACAAUCAUCGAUGAAUGUGACAAACCAUCGAACACCAGAAGGAGCAGUGAUAGGCGAAGGUCCCCAGACAUCAGAGUGAAUUAAUGUAAAUGGAGUAGUACACUUGUUUGUACUCAACGGGUAGGGCACACGGUGACUCUUGGCCAAAAUACAAGUAUCACAUGUGAAGUCGGAGUCUUUGAAACCUGAGAAUAAAUCUGGUAUAAGAUGCUUCAUAUAACUAAAAGACGGAUGUCCCAAUCGACGAUGCCACAACCAGAUUUGCUUUUGUUUGCUAUCAAAGGGAUGUGUCACACUGUUAGCCACGCCGGGACUGAAGUCAUCGACAUAAUAUAGCCCCCAUCUCUUAGUACCACGACCAAGAAUCUCCUUAGUGUGAAUAUCCUGAAGCAAACAAAAACUCGGGUAAAUGAGUACACAACAAUUCAAUUGUUCAGUAAGCUGACUAAUUGACAACAAUUUAGUGGAUAAAGAUGGAACAAGUAAAGUAUUAGACAGUGGAGAGAGGAUGAGAGUGCAACAGUGCUAGCNNNNNNNNNNNNNNNNNNNNNNNNNNNNNNNNNNNNNNNNNNNNNNNNNNNNNNNNNNNNNNNNNNNNNNNNNNNNNNNNNNNNNNNNNNNNNNNNNNNNNNNNNNNNNNNNNNNNNNNNNNNNNNNNNNNNNNNNNNNNNNNNNNNNNNNNNNNNNNNNNNNNNNNNNNNNNNNNNNNNNNNNNNNNNNNNNNNNNNNNNNNNNNNNNNNNNNNNNNNNNNNNNNNNNNNNNNNNNNNNNNNNNNNNNNNNNNNNNNNNNNNNNNNNNNNNNNNNNNNNNNNNNNNNNNNNNNNNNNNNNNNNNNNNNNNNNNNNNNNNNNNNNNNNNNNNNNNNNNNNNNNNNNNNNNNNNNNNNNNNNNNNNNNNNNNNNNNNNNNNNNNNNNNNNNNNNNNNNNNNNNNNNNNNNNNNNNNNNNNNNNNNNNNNNNNNNNNNNNNNNNNNNNNNNNNNNNNNNNNNNNNNNNNNNNNNNNNNNNNNNNNNNNNNNNNNNNNNNNNNNNNNNNNNNNNNNNNNNNNNNNNNNNNNNNNNNNNNNNNNNNNNNNNNNNNNNNNNNNNNNNNNNNNNNNNNNNNNNNNNNNNNNNNNNNNNNNNNNNNNNNNNNNNNNNNNNNNNNNNNNNNNNNNNNNNNNNNNNNNNNNNNNNNNNNNNNNNNNNNNNNNNNNNNNNNNNNNNNNNNNNNNNNNNNNNNNNNNNNNNNNNNNNNNNNNNNNNNNNNNNNNNNNNNNNNNNNNNNNNNNNAGCCCACCAAUCGAGGGUAGCCAUGCGAUGUAAAAACAAAGUCUCACAAGUGUGUCUCGAUCACCAACAAUAUGCGCAAUUGGUCCAUGUGUCGGGGUCGUUAGUCUAGAAGUCAUAAUCCGUGCAGCGGAAGAAAGCAUAGGAUACAGGUUGAGUAGGAAUUUGGAUCGGAAUCUGAGCUGAGUCGGGGCCGGAGUCGGAGUCGAAAUCGGGAUCGGGGUCUGAAUCAUAGACAAAUUCGAGGUUGGGGUCAUCAUCGGAGUGAGGGUCGGGGUCGUCUUCGGAGUCGGGGUCAGGGUCGUCGUCGUCAUAGUCGGGGUCGGGGUCGUCAAAAGAGGAUCCUGAUUCUGGAUCGGGGUCUGAAUCAUAGACAAAUUCGGGGUUGGGGUCAUCAUCGGAGUGCGGGUCGGGGUCGUCUUCGGAGUAGGGGUCGAGGUCGUCGUCGUCAUAGUCGGGGUCAUCAAAAGAGGAUCCUGAUUCUGGAUCGGGUUCGGGGUCAAAGUCUGCAUCUGUAGGGAUGGAGCCAUCUGGGCACUCAACUCAACGAUGGUUGGUUGAGAAUGAGAGAAGGAGUCGGUGGUGCUACCUCCAUGAGGGUUGAAAAAAUCAUCAACCCUCAUAGCGGCGGCGGGGUUUUGAAACUAGAGUCAGCAAUUCCAAGAUCGCCGCUCUGAUACCAUGCUAAAAUAUGAAAAUUAUGAGAGAAUAUUUGUUUGUGGGAAUUUUCUGUGUGUUCUUCUCCUUGUAGGAGGUCAACGAAACCUGAAUGGGCAAGUAAAUAAUAAAUUCCUAAAUCUAUUUACAGUAGGAAAUCAGGAAUUAAAGUAAAUCAAUUACAAUUAUAAUAGGAAUUCUUGGUGUGUAAGGAAAGUAAGUCAAUAUCCACAAGUCACGCCAACAUGCGUAUGUUAAUGAAUUAAUGACCAGUGAGCAGCCAUGGCUCUGUUACAUAAAAUUGAUAAGCACAAAAAUUAGAGAAUAUGUGAAGGGCAUUAGUUAAUGGUUAUGUUGGUUUAUUGUUAAUGUCUAAUUUAUAUUUCAGUAAUACCAUGUGACACUAAUAAUCAAUCUGGAUGUGGAUAGAAUAGACAUAUCUUAAUUUCUUCUUUAUUCAAGUUAAGUAUAAUUUACAAAGCACAAAAAAAAAAAAAAAAAAAACAGGAGAGUAUAACUGACGAGUUCUGAUAUCCCUAAUGCUACUUUUACAACAUUUUUAUACCACAAUUAUAUACCACCUUAUGUGGCAACUUAAGUAUUAGCCAAUUAAAUAGCCAGCUAUACUAAAAUUUCUUUUUCUUUUUCAAAAUGUAAUUAUGUUACUAAAAAUUUAUCACCUCUUCUUACUCACCCUCUCUCUCCCACCAACCCAUCGAUCGGAGGAAAUUUUCAGAUCUAGAAUAGAGGGAAGAGAAGCUCUGAACUAGAGAAGUUGAGGAAUUCAGAAGGAAACAAUAGAAGGUAACACCCAAAAGAUUUUUCCUUGGUGAUGUAAGAGGCUGGCGGCUGGCUUCAAGGUAGGGUCAUUGUUUUGAAUGGAGUCCCUUGACACUUCCCAGGAGUUGUCCCCUUUACUUUGGUUCAUAACAAUAGAUUGAUAAAUUUGUUUAGAUCUCUUUUGGUUCAUAUCAAUAUAUUGAGAUUUGGAUUGUUGUUUGUGUCGAAGAUGGAGGGAGUGGAGUGUAGGGGUAUUUUCUCGGAAGUUUUUGUUUUUGUUUUUUUAAUUUUUUGUUAAUUAAAAAUAAUAAAAUAAUAAAAAUAAUUCAAAACACUUUAGAUGAUGUGGAUGUCCACAUCAACUGCCACACAAACGCGUUAUCACAUCUUCACCUUCUAUGUUACCUAUUAUCAGACUCAACCCCUACACUCAGCUUCAUAAUUUUUGAUUGGUGUUAGUGUAAAGAACUCUUUCAUUUAAAACUGGCACCCAAAAAGGGGGAAAAAUUAUGAAGCAAUUUUCCUUCCAAUGGUGAUUGUGAAUUGAGUUGAGUGAGAAAGAAAGACUUAAGAGGCUGAAAGAAUUGACAAAAGCUCGUGAAUCAUCUGCUUGACAUUGGCACUGGCUGAUUUUCAUGUAAAUUUGCAGUAUGCAAGUUCUGUUACAAUCACCUUUUUCAUUUUCUUUUAUGGGAAAAAAAAUUGAAACCAAAUGAGUUUGAUUCACAUAAAUUGCAUAAUGGGUAUAUGAUUGUCGCAAGUUAUUUGUUGAAGUGUUUCUCAUACGAUGACUCCAAAAUCAGAAGCCAAAAAGGGGGAGAAAAAUUAUGAAGCAGAACUUGGCUUACCAGACGAACCAGCAUCCAACGAGCGAAAAUUUAUCGAACCAGAUACAGGGGCUGAGUUUUGCAUGGCAGAGAUGAUGCAAGGGUUGAGUCUGAUGAUACAUAGGGUAGAAGAUGAAGAGGUGAGAGAACAUGUUUGUGUUAAACGUGUAUUUUAAUAUUUUUUUUAAAAAUAAAAAUAAAUGAGUUAAAGAGUUAAUUAAUAGAGUUAAAAUAUUGUUAAAUUGUGUGCCACAUGUCACAAAACCAAUGAAGAAAUAAAAAGGCACAAGGAAUUUGGUAAGAGGAAAAUUGGACUCGUAAGAGUAACAUUAGUCUAGGUGAUUGACCCCAAGCUUUUUGGAUGAUAGGCAUAUAUAGCUAGCUAUCGCGUUUAUGUACUUUUGGUUUCAGAGCGACACCCUUAUCCACAUAUGGCAUCUACAACACAACAUAAAACAUAUGUCGGUGUGCCGAUCAAAGAAUCUUUUGAUUCCUUUUCUUUUCAUAAUUUACAGAAAAAUUACACCACCAGCACCCACCCCCACCCCCACCCCCACAUAACGGAUAUUGCUUUCGAGUUUCAUAUCCACCACGCUGUGUGUUAUCCAUAUGGCAUCUACAAUGGGGAUGCUUGUCCCAAUAGUCAUAGGCCAAUUCUCACAUAAUGAAUCUUGGGCAUUGGCGACAUCUAUGCACCAACGUGAGGGGGAGUGUUGGCGUGACUUGUGGAUAUUGACUUACUUUCCUUACACACUAAGAAUUCCUAUUAUAAUUGUAAUUGAUUUACUUUAAUUCCUGAUUUCCUACUGCAAAUAGAUUUAGGAAUUUAUUAUUUACUUGCCCAUUCAGGUUUCGUUGUAUUAUAAAUAUGACCUCCUACAAGGAGAAGAAUACACAGAAAAUUCCCACAAACAAAUAUUCUCUCAUAGUAUUAAUAUUUUAGCAUGGUAUCAGAGCCUGGUUCGAUCUAGGGACCUGUUCUUGUGUUCUUCUUGAAAUUUAAGUGCUCUUCUCCCCCCUUGAGGUGUUAUAUUAAAAUACUACGUACAAAAGAUCAACUAGUAUAUAUAGUGGUUUAAAGCAAGAAAGAAAAAGGUUUCGUUCACAAACCGAAAAGUUGAAUUAUUCCUUUCAACAAUUGGCAGAUGAAGCAUUUUACUGUUAUCAACUUUACUACCAAAGAAAAGCUCACAAACCGCUUUUGACCAAACAAUUAAGCAUCUAUUAUCACUACUUGCGAAGUUCCAUGCUUCAUGUGCACGCAAAAUCUAGUCCAUAUAUAUGACUCCAUUUUUUUUAUAAUAAUAAACUGUAGUUUACCAAUUUCAUCUGCGGAAAUUACAAACAAUACAAACUAGAAAAUGAACUGCAACAGGCAACACUUAGAACAAGAGAAACCUAACUCAAAAACAAGAAGAACAAGAAUUUGUUUGAUAUUUCAUCCAUUGGAAUCAAGUAUUAUUUUUAAGGAGAGUGAUCGGAUCGAUGCCAAACUAUAGUAAGUAUAUAUCAACAAAAUACCAAACUGGAGUAUCAAGAAAAUAUUAAAUAAAAUAUCGAUAAUGUAUCAUAUACUGUAAAUAUAUUGGUAUCCGAUACCAACAAAUUCUUUCCCAAAAUAGAGACCCUUGAGGCAUGUGACUUGAAGAAUAUUAGAAUACUUUUGGAGGUCCAACAUGCGCGCAGGGGACCAGGCAGAGCCCUAUAUAAAUGGGCUCCUUCAUAGUGUGCAAGUCACCCAAUUCAAGCCUUUGUUAAUUCCUUGGUAGUUUUUGCAGUUAAUAAAUUAGUAGAAGAUGGGUUAUCACAAUAAUCUUGAUAAGGUCCGUAAUAAGAGGGCCAAGUUUCCCUACACAAAGGAGCAGAUAAGGAACGUCUUCAAACGUCAUGACAAGAAUGGAGAUGGUCAACUUUCCAAAGAUGAGCUGGACGCAGCCUUCAAAGAACUUGGCUCGAUAUGGCCUCCUGGUAGAGCUUGGUUUGCUCAAAGGUAUGCAGAUGACGACGGCGAUGGCUUCAUUUCUAUAGACAAGGAGCUCAGCAAGCUCGUCCAGUAUGCCCUAGAAUUGAAGUAUACACUUAAGUAAUUAUAGUAUUAGUGGGUAACUAGUUCUUGUAUGUGCUUGCUAUAGAUAUAUUCUCAGCAAGCUCGUUGACUAUGCCCUCAAUUGAAGUUCUCUAUAUAAGUAAUCGUAGUGGUGGAGCUAAACUUGGUGUCUUAGUGACCACAACCACUUCAAGUCUAUAUGUAACUCCGUCUGUGUGUAAGCGUCUUUAAUUACUUGUAAGCAGCCGUAGUACCUAUAUAUGUGUGCAAGGUUGAAGGAACGAAAGAGGUGACCUUUUGUUUCCCUUCGUUACCAGGGAAGAUGAAUUUGAACCCUGAUUAUGUAUAAUAUAUAGUGAUUAACAAGAAUAAAGUAACAAACUUUGUGUAUUGAUAUCUAUUACGUAUACAUGUGUACGUAGGUGUGUCUAUAUAUUUAUAUAUGUACAUAUAUAUUGCAUUACAUACGUAUACAUACACAACUUACACUGAUAUUGUAUUACAUUCCCAAAUUCCUUCCCGGUCAAAAAGUCAACUUUUAUACUAAUAAAAUAUUCUAGGGGCAAAAUAGUCUUUUAUCUGAAUAAAUUAACAAUUAAAAAUUUAUUUAGGACUGGGUUGUUACAUAAACUCUUAUAAAUACCUCCUUAUGGAGAAGAAUAAAGUUAACCUAAUACAUUCAAACCAUAUUCAUAUUUUAGCACUAUGAAUGUUACCUUAUCGAGCAUGAGAUGUAUUUUGCUCACCCAGUAUCUCAUUCUCCUCAUCUAGGGGAGAGUAGCGUUGAAGAGUCGAAAUGGAUGGAGUUAUUUCAGGAUAAUAGUGAGGUUAAUUGGCUAGCCAUGUGUGACUUGACAACUAGUAACGAACCAAUCUGCACAGAACUGGCCAGUACCGCACUUGUGACUGAACCUACCAGUACCGUCGCACCCACAGCUUAUAACGUCUAUGCCGCCCCUCUCUCUACUACCUUUCUAGUACCCGGCCCCGAGUCUCCUCAUUCUAACAUUCUUGAGGUAAGUAUAUAAUCUUUGAUUAAUACUAACAAUGAUUGUGAAAUUAGUAAGUGUAGUGUGUAUCAGUUACCACCAAUGACUAAUCAUAGGAAGCCACCAUACGGAUAUUCACCAGAGCCUGCGACAUAGGUAAAGUAUCUUAUUUCUCAUUAUAUGUCUACUCAUAGAUUAUCUGAAGCUUGUCAGGCAUUUGUAAAUCAAAUGUCUAUGAUGACUAUUUCUAGUAAAGUACAAGAUGCAAUAUCUGAUUCAAAAUGGGCCAGUGCUAUGACUGAAGAGAUGCAAACUCUUGAGAAAGAUCAAACCUAGGAAUUGGUGCAACUGCCAGAAGGGAAGAAACCAGUUGGUUGCAGAUGUGUUAUAAAACACAAACCGGAUGGUUCUAUUGACAAGUAUAAAGCCAGACUUGUUGCCUGAGGUUUUUCCCAGACUUAUGAUAUUGAUUAACAUUUGCACCAAUGACUAAGAUCAAUACCAUUUGAGUUCGAUUAUCUUUAGCUGCAAACUUUAACUGGCCAUUGCAGCAAUAUGAUGUAAAAAAAUACCUUUUUACAUGGAGACUUACAAGAGGAAGUCUACAUGUCAUUGCCGCAAGGUUAUAAUGCUCAUACUGAUGCCAGUGUUCUGCGUAAAUUGAAGAAUACACUGUAUGGAUUGAAGCAGUCUCCGCGAACUUGGUUUAGGAGAUUGCGUCGUGCCAUGAAAAAAUAUGGUUAUGAGCAGAGCAACGCUCAUCAUACUUUAUUUCUUCAAAGGAAGAAUGGUAAGUUAACAGUUCUUAUUAUUAAUGCGGAUGAUAUGAUCGUGACUAGUGAUUGUCUUGAUGAAAUUGACAAAUUAAAAGGCUAUUUAGCUUCUGAGUUUGAUAUGAAGGAUCUCGGUGGAUUAAAAUAUUUUUUAGGUAUUGAGGUAACUUGUUCUGAACAUUGAAUUUUCUUGUCACAAAGAAAAUAUGUUCUUGUCACAAAGAAAAUAUGUUCUUGAUUUGCUAAAGGAAUCAGGUAUGCUUGGGUGUGAACCGAUUGGUACUCCUAUAGAACAAAAUCAUGGUUUGGAAGAAUAUCCAGAUCAAGUUCUAAGUGAUAAGGGACGAUAUCAAAGGUUGGUUGGUCGUUUGAUUUAUUUGUCUCAUACUAGACCUGAUAUUGCAUAUGCAGCAAGUGUUGUAAGUAGGUUCAUGCAUAAUCCAAGUCCAUGAUAUAUGGAUGCAGUAGUCUGAAUUUUGAGGUAUUUGAAAUUUGCACCAGGAAAAGGUAUGAUGUUCUUAAAGCAUGGGCAUGUAAAGGUUGUGGGGCAUACAUACUCAGACUGGGCAGGAAAGGAGGAUAAGAGGAGAUCGACAUUUGGUUAUUUCACGUUUGUUUAGGCGGUAACUUGGUUACUUUAUAGUCUAGGUGAUUGACCCCAAGCUUUUUGGAUGUUAGGUAUAUAUAGUUGGCUAUCGCGUUUAAGUACUUUUGGUUUCAGAGCGACACCCUUAUCCAUAUGGCAUCUACAACACAACAUAAAACAUAAGUUCUUUUCUUUUCAUAUCGGAUAUUGCUUUCGAGUUUCAUAUCCACCACGCUGUGUGUUAUCCCUAUGGCAUCUACGAUGGGGAUGCUUGUCCCAAUAGUCAUAGGCCAAAUCUCACCGAAAAGUCGAGCACUUUUUAGAAAGAAAGAAAGAAAGAAAGAAAAAGAAAAAAAAAAAAAAAAAAAAAAGGGUUUCACAAACCGAAAAGUUGAAUUAUUCAUUUCAACAAUUGGCAGAUGAAGUAUUUUUCUUAUCAACUUUACUACCAAAGAAAAGCUCACAAACCGUUUUAGACCAAACAAUUAAGCAUCUAUUAUCACUACUUGCAAGGUUCCAUGCUUUAUGUGCACGCAAAAUCUAGUCCAUAUAUCAUCCAUUGGAAUCAAGUAUUAUUUUUAAGGAGAGUGAUUGGCUCCUUGCCAAACUAUAUAUCAACAAAAUAUUAGCUAAAAUAUUGACAAUGUACCAUAUAUUGUAGAUAUGUUAGUACUCGAUACCAACAAAUUCUUUUCCAGAAUAAAGACCCAUGAGGCAUGUGACUUGAGGAAUAUUAGAAUACUUUUUUAAGGUCCAACAUGUGCGCAGGGGACCAGGCAGAAUCUUGUAUAAAUGGGAUUGAAUUCAUAGUGCAAGUCAUACAAGCCCUAGUUAAUUCCUUAUCCUUGGUAGUUUUGCAGUUAAUAAAUUAGAAGAAGAUGGUUUGGGAAACAAAAAGGUAUAAGGCCCCGAGCAAGGUUCCCUACACAAAGGAGCAGAUAAGGGACGUCUUCAAACGUCAUGAGACGAAUGGAGAUGGUCAACUUUCCAAAGAAGAGCUGGAUGCAGCCUUUGACGAACUUGGCGCGAAAUGGCCUCCUUUUAGAGCUUGGUUUGCUCGACGGUAUGCAGAUGACAACGGCGAUGGCUUCAUUUCUAUAGACAAGGAGCUCAGCAAGCUCGUCGAUUAUGCCCUAGAAUUGAAGUAUAUACUUCAUUAAUUAUAGUAUUUGUGGGUAACUAGUUCUUGUAUGUGCUUGCUAUAGAUAUAUUCUCAGCAAGUUCAUUGACUAUACCCUCAAUUCAAGCUUUCUAUAUAUGUAACUCUGUCCGUGUGUAAGCGUCUUUAAUUACUUAUAAGCCACCGUAGUUCCUAUAUAUGUGUGCAAGUUGAGGGAACAAAAGAGGUGAUCUUUUGUUUCCCCUUGUUACCAGGGAGGAUGAAUUUGAACCCUGAUUAUGUAUAAUAUAUAUAGUGAUUAACAAGAAUAAAGUAACAAACUUUGUGUAUUGAUAUCUAUUACAUAUAUAUAUAUGCGUACGUAGGUGUGUCUAUAUAUUUAUGUAUAUACAUAUAUAUUUUAUUACAUACGUAUACGUACACAACUUACACUGAUAAAAGCUCCGUGUUAUAGAGAUUACUGCAAUCCACUCAACACCACAUGUGGAAGCAUGGACAUUAGCAGAGUAACUUAAUAUGAUUCCAUACCAAUAUCUUGUUCAAGUGGCGUAGAGAUUUAAAUUUAAAAUCUUCAUAUAAGUAUAUCAAAAAAGAAAAAGAAGAAAAGAAAGAACUCUCACACAACUUUUCAUUGUUAUACACUCUUUUCCUAAGGGUGUACAUCCGUUCAAAACUAAUACAAUUUUACCAAUCUGCAUCUGAUUCAAUAUAUAGAUUGGAUUAUGAUUUUCUAAUCCAAUCCGAUCUCAUUAGAAGUAUAAAUCCAAUCCGAUCCAAUUAAAAUUGAAUUAGACUGGAUUGAAUGAUCAAUUUUUAUAAUGAAAAAUAGUAAUAACAAAAUAUAAAACAUUUAUCUUCAAGUUGAAUAUAAUCAAACAUUUCAGAACUUGGAGAGCACGAUGCCAUGCAGAUACCAACAGCAAAGACAGGUCCAUCCUCAACGUCAACGACCUUGUCAAAUAUGCCCUAAAACGUGGCUAUAAACUCUGAUUAACUCAGAAGCAGAUGAGGGGUUUUAGUCAACUAAUUAAUAUAAUAUAUAUGUGUAUAUGUGUGUAUGUAUGAGAGUUUUUAAUUACUUAUCUGCGAGUUCCAGCCAUAUAUACAUAUAUGUGUGUAUGCUAGAGAAGGAAGGAGGUGAGCUUUUGUUUCCCCCUCUUUGGCAAGGUUUGAUGAAUCAGAAUUAUGAUUUAUGUGGAAACUUUUGUAUUUCGCAAUGUGAUUUAAUAAUCAAAAAAAUUUAUAUUUAGAUAUCCUUUAUUAAGUAUCACCAAUUUAAUAUAAUUUUAUAAUUCACACCAACUAGCUUUUAAUAUAAUGAUAAUUGUCUCCACUUAAUUGAAUAAAGUUGCUACUCCGCUCCCUUCGCGGCCUCGGCAUCCCUGACAGCUUGGAUAGCAGCACCACCAAAUCUUGAUUUGAUUCAUAUGAAUACAACAUAACCUGCUUUGUAAACCUCGUAUGUAUAGUUUGAAGAGGAAAAGAAUUAUCAUCCAUACCAAAUCCAGAAAAACCAAAUUAUGUAUAUUAAAUGAGUUAGUAGUUACAAGGUCAAUAAUUUAUGGAGUAUAGGUGAUUGACCCCAACCUUUUUGGAUGUUGGGCAUAUAUAGCUAGCUGUCGCGUUGAAGUAGUUUUGGUUUCAGAGCGACACUCUUAUCCAUACAAUAUGUCGGUGUGCCGAUGAAAGAAUCUAUUGAUUUGUCCUCGCAAUGCAAGUGAAGGAUAAACGGCAAACUGUGUGAAUGUUUUUACUGUGAUCAGUAUGGUUGUAGAAACCAAAGCGAAGGCCUAGCUAGUUGACCCAAGUCAAGCAAAAGAAUCUAUUAGAAUUCUUCAUGUAGGACGUACGCAGGCUUAGUUUUUGUGCUUGCUGCUGAUUAGUCUGUGAUCAUGUAAUAUAAUGUCUCUGUGUAUGUACAUAUAUGCGUAUGUUAAUGAAUUAAUGACCAGUGAGCAGCCAUAGCUCUGUUUCAUAAAAUGGAUAAGCACAAAAUUUAGAAAAUAUGUGAAGGGCAUUAGUUAAUGGUUAUGUUGUUUUAUUGUUAAUGUCUAAUCUAUAUUUCAGUAAUACCAUGUGACACCAAAUGAGUUCUGUUACAAUCACCUUUUUCAUUUUCUUUUAUGAAAAAAAAGAAAAAGAAAAAAAAAACUUGAAACCAAAUGAGUUUGAUUCACAUGAAUUGCAUAAUGGGUAUAAGAUUGUCGCAAGUAAUUUGUUGAAGUGUUUCUCAUACAAUGACUCCAAAAUCAGAAGCCAAAAAGGGGAAGAAAAAUUAUGAAGCCAGAACCUGGCUUACCUGACGAAUCAGCAUCCAACGAGAGAAAAGUUGAAGCCGAUCGAGUUUAUGAUUUUCUUGGAGGACUUGAUUCACCGUAUGAUGGUGUCUAUAGCCGUAUUCUUACUCUUAGUCCUAUCCCGCCCCCUCUCGAAGCCUAUACCAUGGUCAUGGAGGAAGACACUCGUUAGUCUGCUAUGCUUAGAGGAGGUUCGAUGGCCCUCAAAGUCGACCCAGCCCGUCAAUGACCGGUCACUACCCAUCCAGAAAAUUUUCUUCUUCUGCUAGGCCUCGUUCUUCUGGAUCUAUCCCUAGCUCUCUUGAAGGUCCUCCUAAGUGUCGUCAUUGUAAUGGGAAUCACUAUUCUGAGAAGUGUUUUAAGGAGCAUGGUUAUCUUGAUUGGUUUGCUAACUACACGGCUCGUAUGUAUGGUCCUAAAGCCGCCUAUACUAUGACUCAAGAUGAGGCUCGUCCUCUGGCCCUUUCUACAAAUCUGUGUGCUUCUGAUACCAUGCCAUGUAUGGGUUCUAAUACUUGGAUAAUUGACACUGAUGCUUCUGAUCAUAUGACUUUUGAUAAUAAUAUGUUUGAUGAGUUGUCCCAUAACCCUCGUGACCCUUAUAUUACUAGUGCUAAUGGUUUACCUUCCCCAGUUAUUGGUGAAGGUACCAUCCAACUCGCUCAUUCUUUACCUCUAUCCCAUGCACUCUUGGUUCCAAAUAUUCGUUGCAAUUUGUUAUCUGUUGGGCGUUUACUUGAUACACUUAACGCGUCUGCUACUUUCUAUUCUACCUAUUGUUUUUCCAAGAUCUCAAAACUCACGAGAAGAUUAGGCAUAGUAAAUAGAUGGGGGGUUGUAUUACUUAUAGUUAUCAGUUGCAGCAGUUCGUGGUUGUGUCGCUAAUAAAGUUUAGAAUGGCAGUGUCAAAGACAAGCAACAACUUUGGUUGUGGCAUCGUCAUUUAGGACAUCCGUCCUUUGUUUAUCUUAAACAUUUGUUUUCUUCAUUAUUUAGUUUGUGUGAUGAGUCUAGCUUCAAAUAUGAAACUUGUGUAAUGGCCAAGAGCUACCGUAUUGUUUUUCCCUUGAGUAAUAAUAAAGCUGCAUUGCCUUUUGAGUUAGUACAUUCGGAUGUAUGGGGUCCUUCCCGUGUGACUUCUAAUGGUUUCCGUUGGUUUGUCACGUUUAUUGAUGACUGCACUCGCUUAACAUGGGUAUAUUUGAUGAAGCAUAAACAUGAUGUUGCCUCUAUUCUUCCUAUUUUUUGUGCUAUGGUGUCUACUCAGUUUCAUGCCAGUAUUAAAGUAUUUCGGACUGAUAAUGGAGGUGAAUAUGUGAAUCAUACCUUGACCCAUUUCGUCCGUGAUCAAGGUAUCAUCCACCAAACUACCACUCUAUUCACUCCUCAACAGAAUGGUAUGUCUGAACGUAAGAAUCGUCAGUUACUUGAAGUUGCUCGCUCCCUUAUGUUGGAUAUGUCUUUUCCCCAUCAUCUUUGUGGACACGGUGUCUUGGCCACUGCUCAUUUGAUUAACCGUACUCCUAGUCGGGUUCUUGAUUUCAAGACUCUGCUUGAUGUGUUAUGUACCCAUACUUCUCCAGUCUCGGUCUCUAAGUUACCUCCAAAGGUGUUGGGUGUGUUGCUUUUGUUCAUGUCUACUCUCAUUAACGGAGUAAACUGGACCUGUGUGCGCUUCGCUGUGUCUUCAUUGGCUAUUCUACCACUCAAAAGGGUUACAAGUGCUAUCACCCUCAUUCACAGAAAGUACAUGUUACUUUGGAUGUCAUCUUUCACGAAAAAGUAUCGUAUUAUGUCUCUUCCUCCUCUCUAAUUCAGGGGGAGAAGGGGAGUGAAUUGAAGAGUUUCGGAAUGGAAAAUCAUGGACGUAAAGAGGCAUGUGAAGGAAUUUCUGACCAAGUGCCAACGACCGGUCGUGUAAAGGAAGCAACCGGUCACCAAGUAAUCUGCCUGGAAUCGACCGGUCGAGCAGACGAUGACGACUAGUCGCAUGCCUAGAUGACUGAUGACUGCCAGGAAACGACGAUCGAUCGCUCAAAAGAUGACGAUCGGUCGCCUAUUGAAUUCUUUGAUGAAAUUUGCUCUUCGCCAAAAGAACGUGACAGUGAUACUGGUGACUCUUGUGAAGAUAAGAUCGAUAUAAGACCCCCAUCUGCUCUGCCACUGCCCCAAUCAACUCUUGAUAAUGAUGAAGUACUUUCUAAUGAUGUGUCUACUUAUUCAUUACCCCCACCCACUACUCGUGGUAAACCUAAAGUACAAUAUUCUAUUGAUAUACAUUCCAAAUCUAAAUAUCUCAUUAACCAUUAUGUGCCAACUCAUCGUCUAUCUAAGUCAUAUGCAUCAUAUUUGUGUCAAUUAUCUAGUGUUUGUAUGUCAACUAAGUUGCAUGAUGCUUUAUCUAAUCUAAAAUGGGUAGAUGCAAUGCAUGUUGAGAUGGAAGCCUUGAACAAGAAUGCCACUUGGGAGCUAGUUCCUUUACCAAAAGGAAAAAAGGCAGUUGGGUGCAGAUGAGUGUUUACUUUGAAGACAAUGCUGAUGGUUCCAUUGACCGUUACAAGGCAAGGUUGGUAGCAAAAAGUUAUACUCAGACUUAUGGAGUGGAUUACACAGCGACCUUUGCUCCAGUAGCAAAGCUCAAUACUGUGCGCGUACUCUUGACCUUGGUUGCUAAUCAUGAUUGGCCUAUGUUACAAUUCGAUGUCAAAAAUGCAUUCCUCCAUGGUGACCUCAAGAAAGAAAUAUACAUGGAUCCUCCGCCGAGUAUUCCUGUGACCUCUAAGGAGGGUAUGGUGUGCAAACUAUGGAAAUCCUUAUAUGGAUUAAAGCAGUCUCCAAGAGCUUGGUUUAGGAAGUUUGCUGCAUCUAUUAGGAAGUUUGGGUAUGUAUAAAGUAAUUCGAAUCAUACGUUGUUUCUGAAGGGUCGCAAAGGUAAAUUGACAGCUUUAAUAAUUUAUGUUGAUAAUAUAAUUGUAACUGGAGAUGAUCAUGCAGAAAUACACAGUCUCCAGAAAUAUCUGGCGUCUGAGUUUGAGAUGAAAUCAUUAGGUGACUUGAAGUAAUUUCUCGGGAUUGAAGUUGCUAAAUCUAAGCGUGGUAUUUUCCUGUUUCAAAGGAAGUAUAUUUUGGAUUUGCUUGCAGAAACUGGAAUGAUGGAUUGUAAACCAAUUGAUAAUCCUAGUGAACAAAAUCACAAGUUGGGGUUCUAUCCUGAUCAAGUUCCUACUGAUAAGGAGUGCUAUCAACAGCUCGUGGGGAAAUUAAUUUAUUUAGCUCAUACAUGUCCUGACAUUGCGUAUGCAGUGAGUGUAGUGAGUCAGUUUAUGCACUUGCCUAGUGAAGACCAUAUGGGAGCUGUGACGCGUAUUUUGAGAUAUCUCAAAGUAACUCCUGGCAAUGGGUUAAUGUUUUCAAAGUAUGGUCAUAUAGAUGUGGAAGGAUACACAGAUGCUAAUUAGGCAAGUUUAGCUAUUGAUAGGCGUUCUACGUCUGGGUAUUUUACGUUUGUUGGUGGUAAUCUUGUUACUUGGAGAAGCAAGAAACAAAAUGUGGUGUCUUGUUCUAGUGAUGAGGCUGAGUAUCGUUGGAUGGCCCAUGACGUAUGUGAGUUACUGUGGUUGAGGAGAUUAUUGAGAGAUCUUGGCUUUGGACCUAAGAAACCUAUGGAUUUAUAUUGUAACAAUAAGGCUGCGAUUGCAAUUGCUCAUAAUCAUGUACAACAUGAUCGUACAAAGCAUGUGGAGGUUGAUCGAAAUUUCAUUAAAGAGAAGUUCGAUGCGGAGAUUGUUUCCUUCCCAUUCAUCAGUUCUGAGUAUCAGUUAGCUGAUGUCCUUACGAAAGCUGUUUCUACAAGUAUCUUCCUCAACUCGCUUGACAAGUUAGGCAUGUGUGACGUCUUUGCUCCAACUUGAGAGGGAGUGUUGGCGAGAUAUCCUAACCCUAUUAGGAUAUUUCCUUCUUAUUCUAAUAGGAUUUUAUUUAUUUCUUUUUGUAUAGAUAUUACGUAAUUAGGACUUUUCUUAUUUCCUAGUAUAACCCUAUUAGAGUUUGUAACCUUGUAUUAUAAAUACCUCCUUUCGAAAAAUGAAAUACAUAUAAAAAAUAUUAUACCUAUAUUGUUUGACUAAGAUGAUGCAAGGGUUGAGUCUGAUAAUACGCAGGGUAGAAGAUGAAGAGGCGAGAGAACAUGUUUGUGUCAAACAUGUAUUUUAAUAAUUUUUUUUAAUAAAAAAAAAUGAAUUGAAGAGUUAACAGAGUUAAAAUGUUGUUAAAUAGUGUGCCACAUGUUACAAAAUCAAGGAGGAAAUGGGGACACAGAGAAUUUGGUAACAGAAAAAUUCAACUUGUAAGAGUAGCACUAGUUUAUAGUCCAUAGGUGAUUGACCCCAACCUUUUUGGAUGUUAGGCAUAUAUAGAUAGCUAUCGCGUUUAAGUACUAUUGGUUUCAGAGCGACACCCUUAUCCAUAUGGCAUCUACAACACAACAUAAAACAUAUGUUCUUUUCUUUUCAUAUCGGAUAUGGCUUUCGAGUUUCAUAUCCACCACGCUGUGUGUUAUCCAUAUGGCAUCUACAAUUGGGAUGCUUGUCCCAACAGUCAUACGCCAAAUCUCACAUAAUGAAUCUCGAUCCAACUUAAAGAGUAUAAGAUGGAGAUCUCAAGUACUCUUGAGUCUGAUAAUUAUAUUUCCAACGUUAAUUUAGGGGUUUUAGUACUUAUGAUUAAUAAUUUAUAGUUAAAAUGUUUUUAUAUGUUAUAUUAAAAUACUAUGUGCAAAGGAUUCACUAGUGUAGUGGUUUAAAGCAAUUUCUCUUUCAGACAACGUUAUAGGUUCGAAUUCUAAUAUCUGCUAGAAAGAAAGAAAGAAAAAGGUUUCACUCACAAACCGAAAAGUUGAAUUAUUCCUUUCAACAAUUGGCAGAUGAAGCAUUUUACUGUUAUCAACUUUACUACCAAAGAAAAGCUCACAAACCGCUUUUGACCAAACAAUUAAGCAUCUAUUAUCACUACUUGCAAAGUUCCAUGCUUUAUGUGCACGCAAAAUCUAGUCCAUAUAUAUGACUCGAUUUUUUUUAAAUAAUCAACUGUAGUUUACCAAUUUCAUCUGCGGAAAUUACAAGAGGCAACACUUAGAACAAGAGAAACCUAACUCAAAAACAAGAAGAACAAGAAUUUGUUUGAUAUUUCAUCCAUUGGAAUCAAGUAUUAUUUUUAAGGAGAGUGAUCGGAUCGAUGCCAAACUAUAGUAAGUAUAUAUCAACAAAAUACCAAACUGGAGUAUCAAGAAAAUAUUGAAUAAAAUAUCAAUAAUGUAUCAUAUACUGUAAAUAAAUUGGUACCCGAUACCAACAAAUUCUUUCCCAAAAUAGAGACCCUUGAGGCAUGUGACUUGAAGAAUAUUAGAAUACUUUUGGAGGUCCAACAUGUGCGCAGGGGAUCAGGCAGAGCCCUAUAUAAAUGGGCUCCCUCAUAGUGUACAAGUCACCCAAUUCAAGCCUUUGUUAAUUCCUUGGUAGUUUUUGCAGUUAAUAAAUUAGUAGAAGAUGGGUUAUCACAAUAAUCUUGAUAAGGUCCGUAAUAAGAGGGCCAAGUUUCCCUACACAAAGGAGCAGAUAAGGAACGUCUUCAAACGUCAUGACAAGAAUGGAGAUGGUCAACUUUCCAAAGAUGAGCUGGACGCAGCCUUCAAAGAACUUGGCUCGAUAUGGCCUCCUGGUAGAGCUUGGUUUGCUCAAAGGUAUGCAGAUGACGACGGCGAUGGCUUCAUUUCUAUAGACAAGGAGCUCAGCAAGCUCGUCCAGUAUGCCCUAGAAUUGAAGUAUACACUUAAGUAAUUAUAGUAUUAGUGGGUAACUAGUUCUUGUAUGUGCUUGCUAUAGAUAUAUUCUCAGCAAGCUCGUUGACUAUGCCCUCAAUUGAAGUUCUCUAUAUAAGUAAUCGUAGUGGUGGAGCUAAACUUGGUGUCUUAGUGACCACAACCACUUCAAGUCUAUAUGUAACUCCGUCUGUGUGUAAGCGUCUUUAAUUACUUGUAAGCAGCCGUAGUACCUAUAUAUGUGUGCAAGGUUGAAGGAACGAAAGAGGUGACCUUUUGUUUCCCUUCGUUACCAGGGAAGAUGAAUUUGAACCCUGAUUAUGUAUAAUAUAUAGUGAUUAACAAGAAUAAAGUAACAAACUUUGUGUAUUGGUAUCUAUUACGUAUAUAUGUGUACGUAGUUGUGAACUUGUGUCUAUAUAUUUAUGUAUGUACAUAUAUAUUGUAUUACAUACGUACACAUGCACAACUUACACUAAUAAAAGCGCCAUGUUAUAGAGAUUACUACAAUCCACUUAACACCACAUGUGGAAACAUGGACAUGACCAGAGCAACUUAAUAUGAUUCCAUAUCAAUAUCUUGCCUUUUGUUUUGGUACAUUCUGAUGUUUGGGGCCUACUCCAAUUACUAGUACUUCUGGCUUCCGUUGAUUUGUUAUUUUGUGGAUGAUUGCACUCGCAUAUCAUGGUUGUACCUGAUGCAAAAUAAGAGUGAUGUUUUUGCUUGCUUUCGAACUUUUCACCAGAUGAUUAAAAAUCAAUUUUCUGCUACUUUAAAGGUGCUUCUUUCAGAUAAUGGUGGUGAACAAUUUUGAUGAUUCUUCCCUUCAUCCACACCAUUCUUACACAGUUAUUUUCAGAAACAUGGAAUUCUACAUGAGACUACUUGUCCUUACACACCUCAGCAGAAUGGUGUGGAUGAAGGGAAGAAUCAUCAAAAUUGUGAAAUUACUCAUGCUAGUCUUAUAGGUGCCCAUAUGACCCCAUAAUUCUAGGAGGAGGUGAUCACCUAUACAGUCUAUCUUCUUAAUAUUGUGUUCCUGCUAGUGUCCUGUAGUUUAAGACACCAUUGGACAAAUUUGAGGCUUAUGUUUCCUUCCUAUCUCAUAUCACUCUUCUGUCACAUCUCGGGAUCGGCUCCGUCAUAGCACGAUAUUGUCCGCUUUGGGCCCCCUUUCUGCCCUCACAGUUUUGUUUCUAUGAAUCACGAGCAACUUCCCAGUGAGUCACCCAUCCUGGGAUUGAUUUAGCCCCAACUCGCUUAACUUCAGAGUUCCCAUGACUCUGAAGCCAGUGAGCUCUCAAAAGGCCUCGUGCUAGAUGGAGGAGGGCAUGUACAUAUAAGGCACAUCACCCCCUCUCCGUUGGUCGAUGUGGGAUGUUACACUUCUACCUUGUGUUUUUAGAUGCGUUGCUUUUGUGCACUUGCACAAACAUCAACAUACGAAAUUCGAUCAGUGUGCUGUGAAGUGUGUGUUUAUUGGUUAUCACCCCCAUCAGAAGGGUUAUCGGUACUUUCAUCUACCGAGUCAACAUUUUUAUGUUACUAUGAAUGUUACGCUUUCCAAGCAUGAGAUGUAUUUUGCUAAACCAGUAUCUCAUUCUCCUCUUAUGGGGGAGAGUAGCGUUGAAGAGUCAAAAUGGAUGAGUUAUUUCAGGAUAAUAAUGAGGUUAAUUGGUAGCCAUGCGUGACUUGACAGCUAGUAACGAACCAACCUGCACAGUACCAACCAGUACCGCACCUGCGACUGAACCUACCUGCACAUUCGCACCCACAGCCGAUAACGUCUGUGCUGCCCCUCUCUCUACUACUUUUCCAGUACCGGCCCUAAGUCUCCUCAUGCUGACAUUCUUGAGGUAAGAAUAGAAUCUUUAAUUAACACUAACAAGGAUUGUGAAAUUAUUGAGCGUAGUGAGUAUCAGUUACCAACAAUGAGUAAUUGUGGGAAGCCACCAUAUGGAUAUUCACCAGAGCCUGCGACAAAGGUAAAGUAUUUUAUUUCUCAUUAUAUGUCUACUCACAGAUUAUCUGAAGCUUGUCAGGCAUUUGUAAAUCAAAUGUCUACUGUGGCUAUUUAUAGUAAAGUACAAGAUGCAUUGUCUGAUUCAAAAUGGGCUAUUGCUAUGAUUGAAGAGAUCCAAACUCUUGAGAAAAAUCAAACCUAGGAAUUGGUGCAACAGCCAUAAGGGAAGAAACCAGUUGGUUGCAGAUGUAUUAUACCAUAAAACACAAACCGGAUGGUUCUAUUGACAAGUAUAAAGCCAGACUUGUUGCCCAGAGUUUUACCCAAACUUAUGGUAUUGAUUAUCAAGAGACAUUUGCACAUGUGGCUAAGAUCAAUACCAUUCGAGUUCUACUAUCUUUAGCUACAAACUUUAACUGACCAUUGCAGCAAUAUGAUGUAAAAAAUGUCUUUUUACAUGGAGACUUACAGGAGGAAGUCUACAUGUCAUUGUCACCAGGUUAUAAUGCUCCUACUGAUGCCAGUGUUCUGUGUAAAUUAAAGAAUGCACUGUAUGGAUUGAAGCAGUCUUUGCAAGCUUGGUUUAGGAGAUUGCGCCGUGCCAUGAAAAAUAUGGUCAUGAGCAGAGCAAUGCUCGUCAUACUUUAUUUCUUAAAAGGAAGAAUGGUAAGUUAACAGCUCUUAUUAUUUAUGCGGAUGAUAUGAUCGUGACUGGUGAUGAUCUUGAUGAAAUUGGCAAAUUAAAAGGCUAUUUCGCUUCUGAAUUUGAUAUGAAGGAUCUCGGUGGAUUAAAAUAUUUUCUGGAUAUUGAGGUAACUCAUUCUGAAUAUGGAAUUUUCUUGUCACAAAGAAAAUAUGUUCUUGAUUUGCUAAAGGAAACAGGUAUGCUUGGGUGUGAACCGAUUGGUACUCCUAUAGAACAAAAUCAUGGUUUGGAAGAAUAUCCAAAUCAAGUUCCAACUGAUAAAGGACGAUAUCAAAGGUUGGUUGGUCGGUUGAUUUAUUUGUCUCACACUUGACCUAAUAUUGCAUAUGCAGUAAGUGUUGUAAGUAGGUUCAUGCAUAAUCCAAGUUUACGAUAUAUGGAUGCAGUAGUCCAAAUUUUGAGGUAUUUGAAGUCUGCACUAGGAAAAGGUCUGAUGUUCUUAAAGCAUGGCAUGUAAAGGUUGUGGGGUAUACGGACUUAGACUCGGCAGGGAAUGGGGAUAAGAGGAGAUAGACAUUUGGUUAUUUCACGUUUGUUUAGGCGGUCACUUGGUUACUUGGAAGAGUAAAAAGCUGAAGGUUGUCUAUUUGUUGAGUCCAGAUGUCGAGUAUCGGGCUAUGGUGAAAGGUGUUUGUGAAGUGCUAUGGUUAAAAAGGCUUAUGGGGGAGCUAGGUUUUCCUACUGAGAAUACUAUGAAGUUGUAUUGUGAUAAUCAGUCAGCAAUUAAGAUUGCUGAAAAUCCAGUUCAACAUGAUAGAAUGAAACAUGUAGAGAUUGAUCGAAACUUUAUUUAUGAGGAAUUGGAAGAGAAGAUUAUUGAAGUUCCAUAUGUUAAGACUACUGAACAAUUGGCAAAUAUGUUGACCAAGGUUGUAUCAAAUCAAGCCUUUACAGAUUCACUUACCAAGCUAGGUAUCUGCGACAUCUAUGCACCAUCUUGGGGGGAGUGUUGGCUUGAAUCACAAUAGGAAUUAUAGACAAUUACCUUUAUUAUAUUGAUUUGUAAUUAUAGGAAUACCGGUUUGACCUGGAUUGUAUUUAUUCCUUUUUCCUUAUUGUAAUUAGUUACUAGAUAGACUUGUAUUUGUAUCACUAUAAAUACCUCAUUGUGAGAAGAAUAGAAACAUACUGAAUCAUUCGUAACCCUAAAUUCUAUUUGAAUGGUGUUAGCAGCAGCCAAAAAGGGGAAAAAUUUAUGAAGCGAUUUUCCUUCCAAUGGUGAUUGUGAAUUGAGUCGAGUGAGAGAGAAAGACUUAAGAGGCUGAAAGAAUUGACAAAAGCUCGUGAAUCAUCUGCUCGGCAUUGGCACUGGCUGGUUUUCAUGUAAAUUUGCAGUAUGCAAGUUCUGUUCAAAUCACAUUUUUCAUUGUCUUUUAUGGAAAAAAAAACUGAAACCAAAUGAGUUUGAUUCACAUGAAUUGCAUAAUCGGUAUAUGAUUGUCGCAAGUUAUUUGUUGAAGUGUUUCUCAUACGAUGGCUCCAAAAAAGUGGAGAAAAAUUAUGAAGCAAAACCUAGCUUACCCAACGAACCAGCUUCGAAUGAGCGAAAAAAUUUAUCGAACCAGAUACAGGGGCUAAGUUUUGCAUGGCAGAGAUGAUGCAAGGGUUGAGUCUGAUGAUACGUAGGGUAGAAGAUGAGGAGACGAGAGAACAUGUUUGUGUCAAACGCGUAUUUUAAUAAUUUUUUUUAAAAUAAAAAGAAAUGGGUUGAAGAGUUAAUAGAAUUAAAAUGUUGUUAAAUGGUGUGCCGUGUGUCACAAAACCAAUGAAGAAAUAAAGAGGCACAAGAGAUUUGGUAAGAGGAAAAUUGGACUCGUAAGAGUAACACUAAUUUAUAGAGUGGGUGAUUGACCCCAAGCUUUUUGGAUGUCAGGCAUAUAUAGCUAGCUAUCGCGAAGUACUUUUGGUUUCAGAGCUACCGUCUUAUCCAUAUGGCAUCUACAAACAUACAGCAUAUGUCGGUGUGCCGAUCAAAGAAUAUAUAAAGCAUUUUACUGUGAUCCAUUAUACGCUUUCGUCACGUGUAGUGAUCCAUUAUAUUGUUGGAUAUUGCUAUUGGUUUCGGUUUUUUGAAUGAACCAUAAUCUUAAUCUUACACUGCAAGUCCAAACCUUAUCUCUUGUAGUGUUUCAGGCACCCCUUUCUUGUAGUGUUCUUGUGGUGGUUCUGUUCAAAAUGUUGUCCACCCAAAACCUUUGCAUACUUUACAGAAAAAUUACCCCACAUAUCGGAUAUUGCUUUCCAGUUUCAAAUCCACCACGCUGUGUGUUAUUCAUAGGGCAUCUACAAUGGGGUAUGCUUGUCCCAAUAGUCAUAAGCCAAAUCUCACAUAAUGAAUCUCGAUCCAACUUAAAGAGUAUAAGAUGGAGAUCUCAAGUACUCUGAGUCUAAGAAUUAUAUUUCCAACAUGAAUUUAGGGGUUUUAAUACUUAUGAUUAUUUUAUAGUUAAAAUGAUUUUAUAUGUUAUAUUAAAACACUACGUGCAAAGGAUCCACUAAUGUAGUGGUUUAGAGCAAUUGUUCUCUCAGACAACGUCAUGAGUUCGAGUCCUAGCAUCUGUGUAGUUGAAUUAUCCCUUACAAACCGAAAAGUUGGGCACCUUUCAGAAAGAAAGAAGAAAAAAAGGUUUCACAAACCGAAAAGCUGAAUUAUUCCUUUCAACAAUUGGCAGAUGAAGCAUUUUACUGUUAUCAACUUUACUACCAAAGAAAAGCUCACAAACCGUUUUAGACCAAACAAUUAAGCAUCUAUUAUCACUACUUGCAAAGUUCCAUGCUUUAUGUGCACGCAAAAUCUAGUCCAUAUAUGCUACUCGAUUUUUUUUAAUAAUCAACUGUAGUUUACCAAGAAUUUGUUUGAUAUUUCAUCCAUUGGAAUCAAGUAUUAUUUUUUAGGAGAGUGAUCCGCUCGUUGCCAAAGUAUAUAUCAACAAAAUAUUAGGUAAAAUAUUGACAAUGUACCAUAUACUGUAGAUAUGUUAGUACUCGAUACCAACAAAUUCUUUUCCAGAAUAAAGACCCAUGAGGCAUGUGACUUGAAGAAUAUUAGAAUACUUUUUUAAGGUCCAACAUGCGCGCAGGGAACCAGGCAGAGCCCUAUAUAAAUGGGAUUGAAUUCAUAGUGCAAGUCAUUCAAGCCCUGGUUAAUUCCUUAUCCUUGGUAGUUUUGCAGUUAAUAAAUUAGAAGAAGAUGGUUUGGGAAACAAAUAGGUAUAAGGCCCCGAGCAAGGUUCCCUACGCAAAGGAGCAGAUAAGGGACGUCUUCAAACGUCAUGACAAGAAUGGAGAUGGUCAACUUUCCAAAGAAGAGCUGGACGCAGCCUUUGACGAACUUGGCGCGAAAUGGCCUCCUUUUAGAGCUUGGUUUGCUCGACAGUAUGCAGAUGACAACGGCGAUGGCUUCAUUUCUAUAGACAAGGAGCUCAGCAAGCUCGUCCAGUAUGCCCUAGAAUUGAAGUAUAUACUUCAUUAAUUAUAGUAUUAAUUAGUGGGUAACUAGUUCUUGUAUGUACUUGCUAUAGAUAUAUUCUCAGCAAGCUCAUUGACUAUACCCUCAAUUAAAGCUCUCUCUAUAUAUGUAAUCGUAGUGAUGGAGCUAGACUUGGUAUCUUAGUGGCCACAACCACUUCAAGUUUGUAUGUAACUCCGUCCGUGUGUAAGCGUCUUUAAUUACUUGUAAGCAGCCGUAGUACCUAUAUAUGUGUGCAAGGUUGAAGGAACGAAAGAGGUGACCUUUUUUUUCCCUUCGUUACCAGGGAAGAUGAAGAACCCUGAUUAUGUAUAAUAUAUAGUGAUUAACAAGAAUAAAGUAACAAACUUUGUGUAUUGAUAUCUAUUACAUAUAUAUGUGUAUGUAGGUGUGUCUAUAUAUUUAUAUAUGUACACAUAUAUUGUAUUACAUACGUAUACAUACACAACUUACACUGAUAAAAGCUCCAUGUUAUAGAGAUUACUACAAUAUUCCACUCAACACCACAUUUGGAAGCGUGGACAUGAGCAGAGCAACUUAAUAUGAUUCCAUAUCAAUAUCUUGUUCAAGUGGCAUGCAGAUUUAAAUUUAAAAUCUUCAUAUAAGUAUAUCAAAAAAGAAAAAGAAAAAAAGAAAGAACUUUCACCCAACUUUUCAUUGUUACACUCUUUUCUAUAUAAUUAUUUUCUAGGAGUGUACAUCGGUUCGAAACUAAUACAAUUGUAUAAAUCCGCAUUCGAUCUAAUAUAGAUUGGAUUAUAAUUUUCUAAUCCAAUCCGAUCACAUUAGAGAGAUAUAAAUCCAAUCCGAUUUGAUCCAAUUUAUAUUGGAUUAGACUAGAUUGGAUGAUCGGUUUUCAUAAUGGAAAAAGAUAAUAACGAAAUAUGAAACAUUUAUCUUCAAGUUUAAUAUAAUAAAACACUUUAAUAGAAUGUAAAUUUAAAAUAUCAAUGAAAUGCUAGAGAAAAUUAUUCUGAUUUUAUAAUAUAUCAAACAUAACUUCAUCAAAUUACUUAAAAUAUUUAUAACUUUCUAAAUGAAAAUUGCCUAAUAAGCAAAAUGAGGAAAUCCGUCAUCUGAUCUGAUCAUAUGUUGGUGUUGGAAAUUAGGAAUCCAAUCCACUCCGCCAAAUCAUUGAAACAUAUUAAAGUUGAAUUGGAUUGGUCGGUUUAGGGGAAUUAAAUUGGAUCUUGCACACCCCUACUGUUUCCUUUGGUGAGCAUUUACAUUAUACGUCACAAUCUCUUAAAACAUAGCACAACAAAAUGAAUAUAAUGUUUUCAAUAAAACAACGAAAUAUUCGUGAGGAUAAUCAAAUGGUCAAAUGAUUUCAAAUUUGUUGAUUUUCUUAAAUGGAGAUUGAAAAAUUAGACAGUUCAUAUCCUUAAACCACAUGUGGAAGUGCCCAAAAAAGUAAUUAUUUCAUGCAUAUUAUCUACAAAGAGUUCAAUUUGUAAAUAAAUUUUAAUUUUUUUUAUACAAGCGAUGUCUAAAUUAUUCUAAAUUAAUUAAAUUUAUGAGAAGGGAGGUUCGAACUUAGGUGCAAGGAGGCGCGCUCACUUUACUGACCAAUUUGCAUAAUCCACAUCUACAAAUCAUUCUUAUUAAUAAAUUAAAGAAUUAUGAUAUAUGUACACACAUAUAUACACGUUGCUUAACCAAUAAAUGAAAUGGAUGAAAAAUGUUACUCCUUUUUUUCUUUAAUGAAGAAAAAUGUUACAAUUUAUAAAUGGAUAAAGUCACACACACCAAAUACCAAGUCACAUAAGUUAGGGGCAAAAAGGCAGACAUUUCAACUGGCAUGGAGGUCCCGAUGUUACACUUAUGUUUAUUUAUUAAUAUUAUACUCUAGACUCAUAAAAUAUAUAUAUAUAUAUAUGUGACAGAAAUGAUGUUCUAAAUUACUCCAGCUACAGAUAGGCAGGUUGGAAUUCGAGUUCAAAUUAAAGUUUCUCCACCCAUAUUAAUAGCAUAUCAAGACAUUGUACACCCAAAACCUUUUCAUAAUUUACAAGAAAAUCACACCCCUCCCCCAAUCUAUUUGGAUAUGAAGGCUAUCGCUGUCGAGUUUGAUAUCCAUGCUGUGUUAUCCAUAUGACAUCUAUCUACAAUGGGGGUCACUGUGAAAAAAAUAGCAACAGUCACUAUUAUUUGGUGAUUAAAAUUUAGUCACCCCUAAUUAGUCACUAAAUAUCACCUGGUAAUUGUUACUCUUUUUUUUUUUCUUUUUGUAGCGGGUGAUUGUCCAAUAGUCAUAGGCCAAAUCUCACAUAUAAUUGUUCCCAAUAGUCUUCGGUUUGAUUCUUAUAAGGACAAACCAUGUGGCCUUCGUGUUUGUAUAUAUGCCUUUGGUCUGAGGAUUCUAUUUCCAACAUGAAUUUAGGGAUUUUAAUUCUUAUUGUUAAAAAAUGCUUCACCACGUUGGCCGGCGGAAAAGUUGAAUUAUAGAAAGAAUAAAAACACAAACGGAAAAGUUGAAUUAUUCCUUUCGAUCACUGUCCAUAACAACACUGGCAGAUGAAGUAUUUUUACUAUUAUCGCUUGCAAAAUUCCAUGCUUUAUUUGCACGCACAAAUCUGGUCCAUAUACAAACUAGAAAAUGAUCAAGUACAACAUGCAACACUUAGAACAAGAGAACAUAACUCAAAAACAAGAAGAACAAGAAUUUGUUAGAUAUUCAUCCAUGGAAAUCAAGUAUUAUUUUUAAGGAGAGUGAUCGGCUCAAUUCCAAACUAUAUAUCAACAAAUUAUUAGCUAAAAUAUCGACAAUGUACCAUAUACUAGUAUUGCAUACAUGUUAGUACUCGAUACCAACAAAUUAUUUUCCAAAAUUAAGACCCCUGAGGUAUGUGACUUGAAGAAUAUUAGUUAGAAUACUUUUUUAUGGUCCAACAUAUGCCCAGGGGACCAGGCAGAGUCCUAUAUAAAUGGGAUUGAAUUCAUAGUGCAAGUCAUUCAAGCCCUAGUUAAUUCCUUAUCCUUGUUAGUUUUGCAGUUAAUAAAUUAGAAGAAGAUGGUUUUCGAUACAAAUUAUAAGGUCCCGAACAACGUUCCCUACACCGAGCAGCAGAUAAUGAAUGUCUUCAAAAGUCAUGACAAGAAUGGAGAUGCUCAACUUUCCAAAGAGGAGCUGAAAGAAGCCUUCAAAGAACUUGGCUCGAAAUGUCCUCCUUUAAGAGCUUGGUUUGCUAAAAAUUAUGCAGAUGACAACCGCGAUGGCUUCAUUUCUAUAGACAAGGAGCUCAGCAAGCUCGUCAAGUAUGUCCUAAAAUUGAACUAUACACUUCAUUAAUUAUAGUAUUAGUGGGUAACUAGUUCUCAGCAAGCUCGUUGACUAUGCUGUCAACUGAAGCUCUAUAUAUGUGUGUGGAUAUAUAAACAUAGUGGCGGAGCUAGACUUGGCAUCUUGGGGGGUUGCAAUCACUUCAAGCUUAUAUAUGACUCCGUUCGUGUGUAAGCAUAUGUAAUUACUUGUAAUUCGUAUUACCUAUGUUACUAUGUAUGUGUGCAGGGUAGAGGAAACGAAGGAGAUGACCUUUCGGUACCUCUCGUUUCCGGGAAAGAUGAAUUUGAACCCUGAUUAUGUAUAAUAUAUAGUGAUUAACAAAAAUAAAGUAACAAACUUUGUGUAGUGACAUCUAUUAGGUAUAUGUAUGUGUGUCUAAUAUAUUAUAGUACAUACGUAUAUACGUACACAACUCACACUGAUAAAGUUCCAUGUUAUGGAGAUUAUUACAAUCCACUCACCACCACAUGUGGAAAGAUUGUGAUAUGAGCAGAUCUAGAGCAAUUUCACAUGCAUCCAUAUCAAUAUCUUGCUCAAGUAGCAUAGAGAUUUAAAUUUAAAUCCUCAUAAGUAUAUCCAAAAAAAG
Molecule: long non-coding RNA, 37003 nt
Filed under: Prunus persica (peach)
Lineage: Eukaryota; Viridiplantae; Streptophyta; Magnoliopsida; Rosales; Rosaceae
Description: long non-coding RNA (PPER_LNC001461)
Source: RNAcentral